RNAcentral lists this ribosomal RNA (879 nucleotides) under uncultured bacterium. RNAcentral describes it as "bacterial SSU rRNA". It matches the Rfam family "Bacterial small subunit ribosomal RNA", at positions 8 to 916 of the family's 1533-position model. The record is from RNAcentral.
AGAGUUUGAUCCUGGCUCAGGAUGAACGCUGGCGGCGUGCCUAACACAUGCAAGUCGAGCGAUCUUCUUCGGAAGAGAGCGGCGGACGGGUGAGUAACGCGUGGGUAACCUGCCUCAUACACAUGGAUAACAUACCGAAAGGUAUGCUAAUACAAGAUGAUAUAAGAGAUUCGCAUGGAUUUCUUAUCAAAGCUCCGGCGGUAUGAGAUGGACCCGCGUCUGAUUAGCUAGUUGGUAAGGUAACGGCUUACCAAGGCGACGAUCAGUAGCCGACCUGAGAGGGUGAUCGGCCACAUUGGAACUGAGACACGGUCCAAACUCCUACGGGAGGCAGCAGUGGGGAAUAUUGCACAAUGGGCGAAAGCCUGAUGCAGCAACGCCGCGUGAGCGAUGAAGGCCCUCGGGUCGUAAAGCUCUGUCCUCAAGGAAGAUAAUGACGGUACUUGAGGAGGAAGCCCCGGCUAACUACGUGCCAGCAGCCGCGGUAAUACGUAGGGGGCUAGCGUUAUCCGGAUUUACUGGGCGUAAAGGGUGCGUAGGUGGUUUCUUAAGUCAGGAGUGAAAGGCUACGGUUCAACCGUAGUAAGCUCUUGAAACUGGGAAACUUGAGUGCAGGAGAGGAAAGUGGAAUUCCUAGUGUAGCGGUGAAAUGCGUAGAUAUUAGGAGGAACACCAGUAGCGAAGGCGGCUUUCUGGACUGUAACUGACACUGAGGCACGAAAGCGUGGGGAGCAAACAGGAUUAGAUACCCUGGUAGUCCACGCCGUAAACGAUGAGUACUAGGUGUCGGGGGUUACCCCCCUCGGUGCCGCAGCUAACGCAUUAAGUACUCCGCCUGGGGAGUACGCUCGCAAGAGUGAAACUCAAAGGAAUUGACGG